CCUACGGGAGGCUGCAGUGAGGAAUAUUGGUCAAUGGGCGGAAGCCUGAACCAGCCAAGUAGCGUGCAGGAUGACGGCCCUACGGGUUGUAAACUGCUUUUGUACGGGAGUAACGCGCCUUACGUGUCUGGCUUUUCAUUUACCGUACGAAUAAGGACCGGCUCAUUCCGUGCCAUCAGCCGGGGUACUACGGAAGGUCCGGGCGUUAUCCGGAUUUAGUGGGUUUAAGGGGAGCGUAGGCCGCAUGACAAGCGUGCUGUGAAAUGCCCGGGCUCAACGCGGGCCUUGCAGCGGAUACUGGCGUGCUUGAGUCCGCGGGAGGCAGGCGGAAU
RNAcentral lists this ribosomal RNA (332 nucleotides) under uncultured bacterium. RNAcentral's name for it is "partial 16S ribosomal RNA". It matches the Rfam family "Bacterial small subunit ribosomal RNA", at positions 338 to 667 of the family's 1533-position model. The record is from RNAcentral.